AAAGAAUUAGUUAAACAAUAACGUUAGAAUGUCAAACUAAAAUUACUAAAGAUUUAGUAUUCUUUG
This 66-nucleotide transfer RNA is filed under the name Ischnura senegalensis. RNAcentral describes it as "tRNA-Asp". The record is from RNAcentral. Lineage: Eukaryota; Metazoa; Arthropoda; Insecta; Odonata; Coenagrionidae.